AUUUACAGUCCAGUGAGUUGUAUUUAAUCCUUGGAAAAAUUAAACAGUUGUUUUUUUAACACAUUAGAAAAAUGUGUUCAUUUCUUAAAUUAAAUAUUUUUUAAAGGAACUAAUUAGCCCAUUUUUUUCACCAGCAAUUGUAUAUAACAAGAGAAACAACAAUAACAAACACCUUAGUCUGAAAAAAAUAGUUUUAAUCUCCAAAUUGAGGAAUGUGUCAAGAUUAAGACCUUUAAGCCCAAUCUAUACAUUCAAGAAUGACAAGGAAUUUGAAUUGGAUUUUAGUAUUUGACCAAUUUCUUUUUCUCCAGAACAACAGCAUGAGUUCAAAAAGAACAAGGAGUACCAAACCAAUCUUCUGUCAUUAAUAAAAUUAUAAGAUGAGCAUAAAAGGGAAUAUGACAGACAUAACGAAUCCAAAUGGUAAAGUGAUUGGCAGUAUUUUUUCUUGUUUUUGAAAGUUCUUAUUUUCCAAUGGAGAAACAAGCCACAGGAUAGUACAGCUAAAAUUAUUAAUUGAUCAGAACUAAACAGUGUUUGAUCAAUGGAGUAACUGUAGGGGGGUUUCCAAGGGAAUGCUAUGAGGCUCUAUCCUACUUAAAAUGAUGUAUCAGUGAUUUUGAUCCUUACUGAUUUUAAAAUCGUAUCAACCUGGGAGAGAUUGGUUAAUGAAAUCAUGACUUAAAAGAUCAUAACAGACUAAUAAUUUAUCUCAAAAGCAACAAUACGAUUUUUUAAUAAAAAUGUAAAGUCCUACAUUUAGGUUAGAAAAAAAAAAUUACACAAGUACAGAAGGAGGAAGACCUGGUUUAACUGCUUCGCAUCCAAAAGUGAUGAGGUGUUUCGCUUGACCACACAGUGCAAUAUCAUGUCACCACGAUGGAUGAUAAUAUAGGAUACUUCCUGACGUGGGGGAAAAUAACAUGUAACAUUUUCGUAAGUGGAUCAAACCAGUUUAUAAAAUUAUAAGACACAUACAUAAACAUAGUUAUUAAUAGGAAGAAGAUCCAAAAGGUAGCAAGCAGUAACUCUCAGUGGUGAUAAUACAGGUCACCUUCUUCUUUCUGUUUCACACAUUUGCUGCAGUCACUUUGUAUAAUAAGUAUUUACUGAAAAUACUUUGUAUAAUAAAAAUUUUAUUUUGGCUCAAUACAGAUAAAAAGUGUAAGGUGGCUAAUAAAAAAAGAAACAACACAAAUGCAGUUUUAGGCUGCAUUCAGAGAAUUAUAUUUUCUGGAAACGAGACAUUGAUCAGUUCACCAUGCUCUGUACUGGGACGGCCAUAUUGUGUCAUAAUAUCUCCACUUGCUGCACUCCCAGAAUUUAUCACAAUGUGUAAAAUGCCUUUAUUUGCUCUUCCAUUGACUUCUGCUCCACUAGCCAGUAUGUUUGUGAGGCCAGAGACGCUGACCUUCCUUAUUACUGCGUCACCAGCACCUCAUCCAGUACCUGAAACAAUGAAGACGUUCAAAUAACAUUCAUUAAAUAGGUGAAUAACAGAGGCUUUACUAUAC
Bos taurus (domestic cattle) is the source of this 1514-nucleotide long non-coding RNA. The record is from Ensembl. NCBI's taxonomy places the organism in Eukaryota, Metazoa, Chordata, Mammalia, Artiodactyla, Bovidae.